RNAcentral lists this ribosomal RNA (1234 nucleotides) under Salmonella enterica. RNAcentral's name for it is "partial 23S ribosomal RNA". It matches the Rfam family "Bacterial large subunit ribosomal RNA", at positions 1587 to 2802 of the family's 2925-position model. The record is from RNAcentral. RNAcentral also lists the same sequence under 1 other name. Lineage: Bacteria; Pseudomonadati; Pseudomonadota; Gammaproteobacteria; Enterobacterales; Enterobacteriaceae.
GAAGCAACAAAUGCCCUGCUUCCAGGAAAAGCCUCUAAGCAUCAGGUAACACGAAAUCGUACCCCAAACCGACACAGGUGGUCAGGUAGAGAAUACCAAGGCGCUUGAGAGAACUCGGGUGAAGGAACUAGGCAAAAUGGUGCCGUAACUUCGGGAGAAGGCACGCUGACACGUAGGUGAAGUGAUUUACUCAUGGAGCUGAAGUCAGUCGAAGAUACCAGCUGGCUGCAACUGUUUAUUAAAAACACAGCACUGUGCAAACACGAAAGUGGACGUAUACGGUGUGACGCCUGCCCGGUGCCGGAAGGUUAAUUGAUGGGGUCAGCGUAAGCGAAGCUCCUGAUCGAAGCCCCGGUAAACGGCGGCCGUAACUAUAACGGUCCUAAGGUAGCGAAAUUCCUUGUCGGGUAAGUUCCGACCUGCACGAAUGGCGUAAUGAUGGCCAGGCUGUCUCCACCCGAGACUCAGUGAAAUUGAACUCGCUGUGAAGAUGCAGUGUACCCGCGGCAAGACGGAAAGACCCCGUGAACCUUUACUAUAGCUUGACACUGAACAUUGAGCCUUGAUGUGUAGGAUAGGUGGGAGGCUUUGAAGUGUGGACGCCAGUCUGCAUGGAGCCGACCUUGAAAUACCACCCUUUAAUGUUUGAUGUUCUAACGUGGACCCGUAAUCCGGGUUGCGGACAGUGUCUGGUGGGUAGUUUGACUGGGGCGGUCUCCUCCUAAAGAGUAACGGAGGAGCACGAAGGUUGGCUAAUCCUGGUCGGACAUCAGGAGGUUAGUGCAAUGGCAUAAGCCAGCUUGACUGCGAGCGUGACGGCGCGAGCAGGUGCGAAAGCAGGUCAUAGUGAUCCGGUGGUUCUGAAUGGAAGGGCCAUCGCUCAACGGAUAAAAGGUACUCCGGGGAUAACAGGCUGAUACCGCCCAAGAGUUCAUAUCGACGGCGGUGUUUGGCACCUCGAUGUCGGCUCAUCACAUCCUGGGGCUGAAGUAGGUCCCAAGGGUAUGGCUGUUCGCCAUUUAAAGUGGUACGCGAGCUGGGUUUAGAACGUCGUGAGACAGUUCGGUCCCUAUCUGCCGUGGGCGCUGGAGAACUGAGGGGGGCUGCUCCUAGUACGAGAGGACCGGAGUGGACGCAUCACUGGUGUUCGGGUUGUCAUGCCAAUGGCACUGCCCGGUAGCUAAAUGCGGAAGAGAUAAGUGCUGAAAGCAUCUAAGCACGAAACUUGCCCCGA